RNAcentral lists this ribosomal RNA (497 nucleotides) under uncultured bacterium. RNAcentral's name for it is "partial 16S ribosomal RNA". It matches the Rfam family "Bacterial small subunit ribosomal RNA", at positions 29 to 523 of the family's 1533-position model. The record is from RNAcentral.
AUUGAACGCUGCGGCAUGCUUUACACAUGCAAGUCGAACGGUAACAGGCCGCAAGGUGCUGACGAGUGGCGAACGGGGGAGUAAUGUAUCGGAACGUGCCCGGUCGCGGGGGAUAACGCAGCGAAAGCUGUGCUAAUACCGCAUACGAUCCAUGGAUGAAAGCGGGGGACCGUAAGGCCUCGCGCGAUUGGAGCGGCCGAUAUCAGAGUAGGUAGUUGGUGGGGUAAAGGCUCACCAAGCCGACGAUCUGUAGCUGGUCUGAGAGGACGACCAGCCACACUGGGACUGAGACACGGCCCAGACUCCUACGGGAGGCAGCAGUGGGGAAUUUUGGACAAUGGGCGCAAGCCUGAUCCAGCAAUGCCGCGUGCAGGACGAAGGCCUUCGGGUUGUAAGCUGCUUUUGUACGGAGCGAAACGGCCCUCUCUAAUAAAGAGGGCUAAUGACGGUACCGUAAGAAUAAGCACCGGCUAACUACGUGCCAGCCGCCGCCGUAA